RNAcentral lists this ribosomal RNA (529 nucleotides) under uncultured bacterium. Its description in RNAcentral is "bacterial SSU rRNA". It matches the Rfam family "Bacterial small subunit ribosomal RNA", at positions 777 to 1304 of the family's 1533-position model. The record is from RNAcentral.
AAUAGAUACCCCGGUAGUCCAUGCCGUAAACGUUGGGAACUAGAUGUAGGGCCUGUUCCACGGGUUCUGUGUCGUAGCUAACGCAUUAAGUUCCCCGCCUGGGGAGUACGGCCGCAAGGCUAAGACUCAAAGGAAUUGACGGGGGCCCGCACAAGCGGCGGAGCAUGCGGAUUAAUUCGAUGCAACGCGAAGAACCUUACCAAGGCUUGACAUAUAGCAGAACGCUCUAGAAAUAGAGAACUCUUUGGACACUGUUAUACAGGUGGUGCAUGGUUGUCGUCAGCUCGUGUCGUGAGAUGUUCGGUUAAGUCCGGCAACGAGCGCAACCCUCGUCCUAUGUUGCCAGCGCGUUAUGGCGGGAACUCAUGGGAUACUGCCGUGGUCAACACGGAGGAAGGUGGGGAUGACGUCAAAUCAUCAUGCCCCUUAUGUCUUGGGCUUCACGCAUGCUACAAUGGCCGGUACAAAGGGCUGCGAUACCGCGAGGUGGAGCGAAUCCCAAAAAGCCGGUCUCAGUUCGGAUUGGGGU